RNAcentral lists this ribosomal RNA (252 nucleotides) under uncultured bacterium. Its description in RNAcentral is "partial 16S ribosomal RNA". It matches the Rfam family "Bacterial small subunit ribosomal RNA", at positions 524 to 776 of the family's 1533-position model. The record is from RNAcentral.
UACGUAGGGUGCGAGCGUUAAUCGGAAUUACUGGGCGUAAAGCGUGCGCAGGCGGUUCGUUGUGUCGGCGGUGAAAGCCCCGGGCUCAACCUGGGAAUGGCCGUUGAAACUGGCGAACUGGAGUGUGGCAGAGGGGGGUGGAAUUCCGCGUGUAGCAGUGAAAUGCGUAGAGAUGCGGAGGAACACCGAUGGCGAAGGCAGCCCCUGGGCUGACACUGACGCUCAGGCACGAAAGCGUGGGGAGCAAACAGG